AUGCAAGUCGAACGGCAGCACAGGAGAGCUUGCUCUCUGGGUGGCGAGUGGCGGACGGGUGAGGAAUAUAUCGGAAUCUACCCUUUCGUGGGGGAUAACGUAGGGAAACUUACGCUAAUACCGCAUACGAACUGAGGUUGAAAGCGGCGGACCGCAAGGCGUCGCGCGGAUGGAUGAGCCGAUAUCCGAUUAGCUAGUUGGCGGGGUAAAGGCCCACCAAGGCGACGAUCGGUAGCUGGUCUGAGAGGAUGAUCAGCCACACUGGAACUGAGACACGGUCCAGACUCCUACGGGAGGCAGCAGUGGGGAAUAUUGGACAAUGGGCGCAAGCCUGAUCCAGCCAUGCCGCGUGUGUGAAGAAGGCCUUCGGGUUGUAAAGCACUUUUGUUGGGAAAGAAAAGCGGUCGGUUAAUACCCGGUCGUUCUGACGGUACCCAAAGAAUAAGCACCGGCUAACUUCGUGCCAGCAGCCGCGGUAAUACGAAGGGUGCAAGCGUUACUCGGAAUUACUGGGCGUAAAGCGUGCGU
This 528-nucleotide ribosomal RNA is filed under the name uncultured Lysobacteraceae bacterium. RNAcentral describes it as "bacterial SSU rRNA". It matches the Rfam family "Bacterial small subunit ribosomal RNA", at positions 55 to 572 of the family's 1533-position model. The record is from RNAcentral. Lineage: Bacteria; Pseudomonadati; Pseudomonadota; Gammaproteobacteria; Lysobacterales; Lysobacteraceae.